CCUACGUGAGGCAGCAGUAGGGAAUAUUGCUCAAUGGGGGAAACCCUGAAGCAGCAACGCCGCGUGGAGGAUGAAGGUUUUAGGAUUGUAAACUCCUUUUGUUAGAGAAGAUUAUGACGGUAUCUAACGAAUAAGCACCGGCUACCUCCGGGCCAGAAGCCGCGGUAAUACGGAGGGUGCAAGCGUUCCUCGGAAUCACGUGGCGUAACGAGGGCGUAGGCGGGGGAAUAAGUCAGCUGUGAAAUCCUGUAGCUUAACUACAGAACUGGCUUUGAAACGGUUACUCGGGACUGUGGGAGUGUUAGGUGGCAUUCUUGGUGUAGGGGUAGAAUCCGUACAGAUCAAGAGGAAUACUCAUUGCGAAGGCGACCUGCUGGACCCUUACUGACGCUGCUGCACGACCGCGUGGGGAGCAAACAGGAUUAGAUACCCUUGUAGUC
This 440-nucleotide ribosomal RNA is filed under the name uncultured bacterium. Its description in RNAcentral is "partial 16S ribosomal RNA". It matches the Rfam family "Bacterial small subunit ribosomal RNA", at positions 338 to 795 of the family's 1533-position model. The record is from RNAcentral.